CAAUGUGGCCCUGCUGGUUGGAUUGUGCCUGAUCUUGGCCCGUAAAUCAGUCCUAGGUCUGGUUAGUACUUAGAUGGGAAACCAUCUGGAAUCCCAGGUGCUAUAGAGA
Molecule: ribosomal RNA, 109 nt
Filed under: Crocodylus porosus (Australian saltwater crocodile)
Lineage: Eukaryota; Metazoa; Chordata; Crocodylia; Crocodylidae
Source: RNAcentral